UCAGGAUGAACGCUGGCGGCGUGCCUAACACAUGCAAGUCGAGCGAGAAUCUUGAAGUAGCUUGCUACGGAGAAGAGGACAGCGGCGGACGGGUGAGUAACGCGUAGGUAAGCUGCCCCUUGCAGAAGGAUAGCCUCGGGAAACUGGGAUUAAUACUUCAUAAAGCGUUUUCAUCGCAUGGUGAGAACGCCAAAGAUCUAUCGGCAAGGGAUGCACCUGCGUCUGAUUAGAUAGUUGGUAGGGUAACGGCCUACCAAGUCAACGAUCAGUAGCCGACCUGAGAGGGUAAUCGGCCACAUUGGAACUGAGACACGGUCCAAACUCCUACGGGAGGCAGCAGUGGGGAAUAUUGCACAAUGGGCGAAAGCCUGAAUGCAGCAACGCCGCGUGAGUGAAGAAGGUCUUCGGAUUGUAAAACUCUGUUCUUGGGAAAGAAGUAAGUGACGGUACCCAAGGAGAAAGCCCCGGCUAACUACGUGCCAGCAGCUGC
RNAcentral lists this ribosomal RNA (490 nucleotides) under uncultured bacterium. RNAcentral describes it as "bacterial SSU rRNA". It matches the Rfam family "Bacterial small subunit ribosomal RNA", at positions 24 to 518 of the family's 1533-position model. The record is from RNAcentral.